This is a long non-coding RNA of Thrips palmi, 301 nucleotides long. RefSeq lists it as uncharacterized. The transcript has 2 exons. The record is from RefSeq and is a predicted model, not a curated record. Lineage: Eukaryota; Metazoa; Arthropoda; Insecta; Thysanoptera; Thripidae.
GCAGCAGCAGCCCGCCAGCUCGUACGCGGCGCCGCCCCAGGCCAGCCUCUCGGGGGGCUCCUACCCGGCCAGCAACAGCUUCAGCAGGCGGAGCGUGCAAGGCUGACAGGAAACCGGAAGCUCUGAGACGAAAUCAACAAAAAUGAAGAACUCUAGUCACACAGCAGCGCGAUCAAGAGACCCAAACUCAACCCAGGGUUUGGCGGCCGAGGCUCUACGUCACCAACCAACCCUUCUUCUGCCAAACAACAACAACACACGACAGUGUGCUUUCCUGAUCAAUAAAUCCCAAUGCAGCCGA